Molecule: long non-coding RNA, 601 nt
Organism: Erpetoichthys calabaricus (reedfish)
Lineage: Eukaryota; Metazoa; Chordata; Cladistia; Polypteriformes; Polypteridae
Exons: 3
Source: RefSeq, a predicted model, not a curated record
UACGACCCUGCCCGAUCUGCGGUUUUCUACUUCGCGACACGAGUCCCCAUCCGAUUUGUCUCACGCACGCGCUCUCUGCUUAAUUAAAAAUCAUUUCACGACUCUGCCCGAUUUGUUCUGCGCAUGUCUAAUGUUUUACGACACACGUCAUUCGUCAGGUUUGAAUUGUACUUGCGAGUCAUUUUUUGUGUUGACGUUUAUCUUCGUCUGUAAGUGAACUUCUUACUGGAAAAGAUGAUAACUUUUGAAUUUUAUAACGUCUUGGAAGAAUAUAUGUCGCCUGAAAAUUUUAACUCCAUUCGACUGAAGAGGGAGCGAAAUGAAAUGCGACGUAUGUCUGUGAACUUUAUAAUGGAUACGUAUAGCUUUUUGAUGCCCAGUGGUAACCAGCCUUCCAUUGGCUGAACAGAUGGCAGUGUAUCCGAAUUCUGAGACACAACUGGAUGUCCUUUUCUUCUGCUUUUAAGAUUCCCAGUUCGAGAUGAUAGCGUCAAGAGUGUGAAUCCUCACAAACACAGAGACUGAAGAGCAUCAGUCCCAGCAGUCACUAUACAGCGAUGUUGCUCUGUUUUGCAAAAUAACAUUUAUUUUCUUAAGUUAC